AGCGUAUAUUAAAGUUGUUGCAGUUAAAAAGCUCGUAGUUGGAUUUCUGUUAAUAAUUUAUAUAAAAUAUUUUGAUGAAUAUUUAUAUAAUAUUAACAUAAUUCAUAUUACUAUAUAUUUUAGUAUAUGAAAUUUUACUUUGAGAAAAUUAGAGUGCUUAAAGCAGGCAUAUGCCUUGAAUACUCCAGCAUGGAAUAAUAUUAAAGAUUUUUAUCUUUCUUAUUGGUUCUAAGAUAAGAAUAAUGAUUAAUAGGGACAGUUGGGGGCAUUUGUAUUUAACAGUCAGAGGUGAAAUUCUUAGAUUUGUUAAAGACAAACUAAUGCGAAAGCAUUUGCCAAGGAUGUUUUCAUUAAUCAAGAACGAAAGUUAGGGGAUCGAAGACGAUCAGAUACCGUCGUAGUCUUAACCAUAAAC
Molecule: ribosomal RNA, 415 nt
Filed under: Cryptosporidium parvum
Lineage: Eukaryota; Apicomplexa; Conoidasida; Eucoccidiorida; Cryptosporidiidae
Description: SSU rRNA
Rfam family: Eukaryotic small subunit ribosomal RNA
Source: RNAcentral